CACAGGGAGGUAGUGACAAUAUAUAACAAUACAGGGCUCUUCGAGUCUUGUAAUUGGAAUGAGUACAAUCUAAAUCCCUUAACGAGGAACAAUUGGAGGGAAAGUCUGGUGCCAGCAGCCGCGGUAAUUCCAGCUCCAAUAGCGUAUAUUAAAGUUGUUGCAGUUAAAAAGCUCGUAGUUGAAUUUUGGGCCUGGAAGGUUGGUCCACCUAACGGUGAGCACUUUCCAGCCAGGCCCCACCUUCUGUGGGGUCGUGCUGCUCGGUAACGGGUGGCACGGCUGUGCAGGACUUUUACUUUGAAAAAAUUAGAGUGUUCAAAGCAGGCAUUCGCUUGAAUACAUUAGCAUGGAAUAAUAGAAUAGGACUUUGGUUCUAUUUUGUUGGUUUCUAGGACCGAAGUAAUGAUUAAUAGGGAUAGUUGGGGGCAUUAGUAUUUAAUUGUCAGAGGUGAAAUUCUUGGAUUUAUGAAAGACUAACUUCUGCGAAAGCAUUUGCCAAGGAUGUUUUCAUUAAUCAAGGACGAAAGUUAGGGGAUCGAAGACGAUUAGAUACCGUCGUAGUCUUAACCAUAAACUAUGCCGACUCAGGAUCGGUGGUACGUCACUAUUGCGUCCAUCGGCACUGUAUGAGAAAUCAAAGUUUUUGGGUUCCGGGGGAAUUACGGCCGCAAGACUGAAACUUAAAGGAAUUGACGGAAGGGCACCACCAGGAGUGGAGCCUGCGGCUUAAUUUGACUCAACACGGGGAAACUCACCAGGCCAGAACAUGAGAAGGAUUGACAGAUUGAGAGCUCUUUCUUGAUUUUAUGGGUGGUGGUGCAUGGCCGUUCUUAGUUGGUGGAGUGAUUUGUCUGGUUAAUUCCGAUAACGAACGAGACCUUAACCUGCUAACUAGUCACGCCAAGUCUUGCUUGGUGGCCGACUUCUUAGAGGGACUGUUGCUGUUUAAGCAAUGGAAGUUUGAGGCAAUAACAGGUCUGUGAUGCCCUUAGAUGUUCUGGGCCGCACGCGCGCUACACUGAUGAAGUCAGCGAGUAUUUCCUUGUCCGAGAGGGCCGGGUAAUCUUUUGAAACUUCAUCGUGCUGGGGAUAGACCUUUGCAAUUAUUGGUCUUCAACGAGGAAUUCCUAGUAAGCGUGAGUCAUCAGCUCGCGUUGAUUACGUCCCUGCCCUUUGUACACACCGCCCGUCGCUACUACCGAUU
Molecule: ribosomal RNA, 1204 nt
Filed under: Aphelida sp.
Lineage: Eukaryota; Fungi; Aphelidiomycota
Description: SSU rRNA
Rfam family: Eukaryotic small subunit ribosomal RNA
Source: RNAcentral